This 277-nucleotide ribosomal RNA is filed under the name uncultured Burkholderia sp. RNAcentral describes it as "partial 16S ribosomal RNA". It matches the Rfam family "Bacterial small subunit ribosomal RNA", at positions 504 to 780 of the family's 1533-position model. The record is from RNAcentral. Lineage: Bacteria; Pseudomonadati; Pseudomonadota; Betaproteobacteria; Burkholderiales; Burkholderiaceae.
UGUGCCAGCAGCCGCGGUAAUACGGAGGGUGCAAGCGUUAAUCGGAAUUACUGGGCGUAAAGCGUGCGCAGGCGGUCCGCUAAGACAGAUGUGAAAUCCCCGGGCCUAACCUGGGAACUGCAUUGGUGACUGGCGGGCUAGAGUAUGGCAGAGGGGGGUAGAAUUCCACGUGUAGCAGUGAAAUGCGUAGAGAUGUGGAGGAAUACCGAUGGCGAAGGCAGCCCCCUGGGUCAAUACUGGCGCUCAUGCACGAAAGCAUGGGGAGCAAACAGGAUUA